RNAcentral lists this long non-coding RNA (2865 nucleotides) under Mustela putorius furo (domestic ferret). RNAcentral's name for it is "lncRNA (ENSMPUG00000031702.1)". The record is from RNAcentral. Lineage: Eukaryota; Metazoa; Chordata; Mammalia; Carnivora; Mustelidae.
AUGAGCCCACAGAAUGUUCCAGAAGGACCUACUCCCACUGGUCUGCAUCAGUCCCCGGGGGGCCUCAGCUCAGGUGCUGCUCCGGCCCAGAGGGAAACACUUUCUAGCAAACUCUUUCAGCUGUUUCUGCUCCAGCUCCCACCACCCUCCUUCCAGGAACGCCCCUUUCUAGAAGGAACUAUAGACGUGGGGCUAACGCGCUCCUGCCGAGAUGAAGGAGGCCUCGGUGGAAACUUUCCGUCUCUCCCGAGCCUUGACCACCACCCCCGCCCCCGGGGCGUCCGGAGAUGGGAGCGGCCCGCGAGCGCGGUCGCCAGGAAGACAGAGCCGGCCUAAGAAAGUAGGUAUUCUCAGAAAGUGGGUGUCUAACCCUAUCGUGACCCCACUCACUGCUGCCUACAGCCCUGGGUGGGGCCCCAGUGUUGGCAGCAAAAACAUCUGCCGUGUUUCCGAGGCACCCAGGCUGGGUGAGCAAGAAAGCACGCUCCUGAGUCACAGCUGGGAGGGACAAAGGAAGCGACGGAAGGGGUAAUCAAGACCAGCCGAGCGUUUAACUAAGACCUUCAUGAGUCCACUUGUCCCAGCUGCGCUUACGCCCCUGAUGGAAUAAUGGCUUUGCUCAGAGGGGUCACGUGGGCAGCUGUUGGGCCCAUUUCUCGGACCCCAACCUCCGAGUCCCUAGCGUGAAUUCUGCAGGCAAGAUUCCUGAGAACGUGCGGUGUAACAAGUGCACCGGUGAUCCAGUGACAAGCAGCUUGGGGGAACUCUAGUCUCCCUGGAGCCCUGUGGUGGAAUCCCAGAGCCAGGUAAAUUUGUUUACCUUCAACCAAGAGACACACAGGGUCUGGGUCUUUCGCCUUGACCUUGCAGUAGGCCUAGAACCCAGCCCAGGGAACACCCACUUUGGACGUAUGCUGAGGAAUCAGAUGGAAAGUGAAAAUCUGAUUUCCGUCCCAGAUGGCAGGCGGGAGGGAGGUCCCAGCUGAGACUCCUAACCCUUUUGUGCAGCCAGCCCGCCCUGAUGCCCUAAAUCCAGUUCCACCGCCUGGGGCAUCCAGACGGUGGCACCUUGCUCUGUGGGCCAGAGCUGGGCCACUACCCUGGUGAGGUCACCGCUUUGCAUCCCGAGGGCUCACGGGGAAGAUUGGAGUGCCUGGGACUUCCCGGCACAGGAAAGGGGAACCCCAGCAGGAGGCAUGGUAGUGGGCACACCUAAUCCUCAUCAGCCGGAUUCUGCGCCUCGCCCCGCCCACCCUGCGGCUCCGCCCCUGAGCAGAACCCAGGAAGUGAGUCUGCCCGCAGACCUCAAGACCAGUGAGCAUCUCCGCUCGGCUGGGGUGUCCUGGCUGCCAAGGUCAAGCCUGAAGAGAGUGAGGGGUGAGCCCUGGGCAUGGGCUUGACCUGCUGCGGCUCACGCUCAGGCCUCUCUCUUCUGCCUCCACGCACAGUGCUGGGAGCCCUCAGCCCCUUUGCAGUGUGUUGCGGGGGAGGUAGGGCGACGUGCUGUGACUUCCCACCCUGCGGUGUGUGUAUCAUCUUCUUGUAAUUCUUUGACCAGCUCUCCUGACAGCAGACAGGAAAACGGAGCUGGGGAAAGUGAGUGCAACGCAAUGCUUGCAUCAGUGCGAACCAUUAACUUACCACUAAUUGCCAAGACAGCUCCACAUCUGUGCCGUGGCCAGCUAGCUCACAACGGCCCCCUUGCAUGCAGUGAGUGACUCGCAGACUGCAGCCCAGAGGCCCAGUGGGAACACACCCUUCUGGGCCCCACUUGGAGUCUGAUUCAGCAGGUCUGCAGUGGCUACCCAGAAUUUUAACUUCCAUCACGCUCUCCAGGGGUGCCAGUGUGGCCGGCCUGUGCAAGGCUCUAAGGCACUGAUUUCCAAACAUGGUUAGAGUCCCACUCCCAAAGAUUCUGAUCCUUGGGAGGGGGUCUGCAAAUAUGCAUUGUUAAAAAAAGCCAGGUGUGUUUAUUUAGUGACAAAGAUGGCACUUCAGAUCAGAAAGGAGAUGGAAUGAUUUCUUCAGGUUCUAAGUGUUGGACGAAUUGGCUACCAUUUGAGAAAAAAUGGUCCAGCGCCCCGUCACACCGCACUAGAACAACAGUAAGAGAAAAAAAAAAAAAAAAGCUAUUAAGGUUAAAGAUCUUUGCAUUUGAAAAUGAAACUUGCAAAAAAAAUUUUUUUUUAGGGAUUUUGGAGCGGAGAAGUCUGCCUGGGGAAAUCAAAUCCACACUGCAGGGAUGCAGUUAAAAGUUUAAUGUCUCUGGGGUGCCUCGGUGGCUCAGUGGAUUAAGCCUCUGUCUUCAUGAUCAUGAUCUCAGGGUCCUGGGAUCAAAGCCAGAACCAGGAGCCUACUUCCCCCUCUCUGCCUGCCUAUCUGCCUACUUGUGAUCUCUCUGUGUCAAAUAAAUAAAAUCUUAAAAAAAAAAAUUUAAUAUCUCUAUCCAGGUGAGGGGGGUAUCUCCAAAUGCCUACAUCUAGUGUCUUUGUGAUUUUAAUUUUCCACUGUGUUGGAAAACUCCAGAGCACAUUUGCCCUCAUUAACUGCCCCGGGGGCAGCGUCCACCAUAGGUGGGCCAGCUUCGGCCAUUAGAGAACCAUCACCAUUUGUUGCUCGAAUGAUUUUCGGUGGCAGGCCACAGUUCAGGGGCCUUGUUGCGCUUGUGCAGACAGAAGAUUUAAAAAACUAAAAUAAAUCAUUAGAACAGAAGCUGUGACUCACUUAUUUCGGCAAAUCCAGCCCUUCUCUUUACCAGGCAACAGCCAAGCGGGACAGCAGCAAAUUUCCCAAGAUUAGUGCUUAUCCUUUCAGCCCUGGUUCAACUUCUCACUCAUCACCACGUGGAGCUGUAUGGGCUUUCCC